CUUGUCGCGAGGCAAGUUCUGAAGGAAGUCUAUGGCAAACCACUGACCUAACGGACAGAAACCGUAUAUGAGGCCGGCGUGUCGGAUGAGAGGGUCGCGAAACUCAAAGUCCAAUAGCUGCACGGAAGGCGGCAGGCAAUGGCAGGGAGCAUGGUGGAAUAGCCAUCAAU
Desulfovibrio sp. An276 is the source of this 170-nucleotide non-coding RNA. The record is from Rfam. NCBI's taxonomy places the organism in Bacteria, Pseudomonadati, Thermodesulfobacteriota, Desulfovibrionia, Desulfovibrionales, Desulfovibrionaceae.